GGUGACGUGUCGGAUUUGGGCGUAAAGGGCUCGCAGGCGGUUUCUUAAGUCUGAUGUGAAAGCCCCCGGCUCAACCGGGGAGGGUCAUUGGAAACUGGGAAACUUGAGUGCAGAAGAGGAGAGUGGAAUUCCACGUGUAGCGGUGAAAUGCGUAGAGAUGUGGAGGAACACCAGUGGCGAAGGCGACUCUCUGGUCUGUAACUGACGCUGAGGAGCGAAAGCGUGGGGAGCGAACAGGAUUAGAUACCCUGGUAGUCCACGCCGUAAACGAUGAGUGCUAAGUGUUAGGGGGUUUCCGCCCCUUAGUGCUGCAGCUAACGCAUUAAGCACUCCGCCUGGGGAGUACGGUCGCAAGACUGAAACUCAAAGGAAUUGACGGGGGCCCGCACAAGCGGUGGAGCAUGUGGUUUAAUUCGAAGCAACGCGAAGAACCUUACCAGGUCUUGACAUCCUCUGACAACCCUAGAGAUAGGGCUUUCCCUUCGGGGACAGAGUGACAGGUGGUGCAUGGUUGUCGUCAGCUCGUGUCGUGAGAUGUUGGGUUAAGUCCCGCAACGAGCGCAACCCUUGAUCUUAGUUGCCAGCAUUUAGUUGGGCACUCUAAGGUGACUGCCGGUGACAAACCGGAGGAAGGUGGGGAUGACGUCAAAUCAUCAUGCCCCUUAUGACCUGGGCUACACACGUGCUACAAUGGACAGAACAAAGGGCUGCGAGACCGCAAGGUUUAGCCAAUCCCAUAAAUCUGUUCUCAGUUCGGAUCGCAGUCUGCAACUCGACUGCGUGAAGCUGGAAUCGCUAGUAAUCGCGGAUCAGCAUGCCGCGGGUGAAUACGUUCCCGGGCCUUGUACACACCGCCCGUCACACCACGAGAGUUUGCAACACCCGAAGUCGGUGAGGUAACCUUUAUGGAGCCAGCCGCCGAAGGUGGGGCAGAUGAUUGGGGUGAAUCUACAAGGUAAAACACACAUAUAAAGGCUU
RNAcentral lists this ribosomal RNA (978 nucleotides) under Bacillus pumilus. RNAcentral describes it as "bacterial SSU rRNA". It matches the Rfam family "Bacterial small subunit ribosomal RNA", at positions 534 to 1533 of the family's 1533-position model. The record is from RNAcentral. Lineage: Bacteria; Bacillati; Bacillota; Bacilli; Caryophanales; Bacillaceae.